ACCAGCGGAGGGAUCAUUACUGAGUUUACGCUCUACAACCCUUUGUGAACAUACCUAUAACUGUUGCUUCGGCGGGUAGGGUCUCCGUGACCCUCCCGGCCUCCCGCCCCCGGGCGGGUCGGCGCCCGCCGGAGGAUAACCAAACUCUGAUUCAACGACGUUUCUUCUGAGUGGUACAAGCAAAUAAUCAAAACUUUUAACAACGGAUCUCUUGGUUCUGGCAUCGAUGAAGAACGCAGCGAAAUGCGAUAAGUAAUGUGAAUUGCAGAAUUCAGUGAAUCAUCGAAUCUUUGAACGCACAUUGCGCCCGCCAGCAUUCUGGCGGGCAUGCCUGUUCGAGCGUCAUUUCAACCCUCAAGCUCUGCUUGGUGUUGGGGCCCUACAGCUGAUGUAGGCCCUCAAAGGUAGUGGCGGACCCUCCCGGAGCCUCCUUUGCGUAGUAACUUUACGUCUCGCACUGGGAUCCGGAGGGACUCUUGCCGUAAAACCCCCAAUUUUCCAAAGGUUGACCUCGGAUCAGGUAGGAAUACCCGCUGAACUUAAGCAUAUCAAU
RNAcentral lists this ribosomal RNA (553 nucleotides) under Colletotrichum sp. ITCC 6150. RNAcentral describes it as "eukaryotic LSU rRNA". The stretch from base 192 to 345 matches the Rfam family "5.8S ribosomal RNA". The record is from RNAcentral. Lineage: Eukaryota; Fungi; Ascomycota; Sordariomycetes; Glomerellales; Glomerellaceae.